GACGAACGCUGGCGGCGUGCCUAAUACAUGCAAGUCAAACGAAGCUUUUUUAACUGGUGCUUGCACCGACUUAAACAACUGAGUGGCGAACGGGUGAGUAACACGUGGGUAACCUGCCCCAAAGCGGGGGAUAACAUUUGGAAACAGAUGCUAAUACCGCAUAACCACAGAAACCACAUGGUUUCUGUGUCAAAGAUGGUUUCGGCUAUCACUUUGGGAUGGACCCGCGGCGUAUUAGCUAGUUGGUAAGGUAAUGGCUUACCAAGGCAAUGAUACGUAGCCGAACUGAGAGGUUGAUCGGCCACAUUGGGACUGAGACACGGCCCAAACUCCUACGGGAGGUAGCAGUAGGGAAUCUUCCACAAUGGACGAAAGUCUGAUGGAGCAACGCCGCGUGAGUGAAGAAGGUUUUCGGAUCGUAAAACUCUGUUGUCAGAGAAGAACGUGUGCGAGAGUAACUGUUCGUGCAGUGACGGUAUCUGGCCAGAAAGCCACGGCUAACUACGUGCCAGCCGCCGCCGUAA
RNAcentral lists this ribosomal RNA (524 nucleotides) under uncultured bacterium. Its description in RNAcentral is "partial 16S ribosomal RNA". It matches the Rfam family "Bacterial small subunit ribosomal RNA", at positions 28 to 523 of the family's 1533-position model. The record is from RNAcentral.